This 692-nucleotide long non-coding RNA is filed under the name Elaeis guineensis (African oil palm). Its description in RNAcentral is "long non-coding RNA (EGUI_LNC013359)". The record is from RNAcentral. Lineage: Eukaryota; Viridiplantae; Streptophyta; Magnoliopsida; Arecales; Arecaceae.
UGAGAAAAACUACUGGUAUUUUCUUGUGUAGCAUAGAGCAUUGCAAAGAUAUACAUCGUUUAAUGUGAUUAAGAAUUUUUAGGCUAUCCUCAGAUUCUGCCAUAAGGUGGUAAUGCUAGUGCUUGAUUUAUUGAUCAAGAUCUCUCUCAGUUCAGCCAACCUUUGCUGCUCGAUCAACUUUACAUCUUGGAUCUAUCUUUGCAGGAUUACUUGGCCUAUGAAGGAGAGCAUAAAGCUAAAAUUGCUGCAGAUUUUCUUAGGUAGAACAAAAACAAGUUGCUUCUCUUGAUUCAGGAUUUCCAGUCUAUCUACAGUAUAUAAACAAGAAUGAUCUCACCCUACCGCACACUAUAAACAAGAAUGAUCUCACCCUACCGCACACUUUGCCCGAAGGAUUUCUGGUUCAUGUAUAGAUUAAACAAUGGUGAACCAAGCCAAAAUUGCAUUCCUGCAUUGCAUGGCCUUGAGAUAACGUGGGCAAGUUGUCAUAAAAAUAUUUGCUUUUGGAAACAAAUUACCCUUGGAAACUAGAAAGAGCGGGAAUUAGAGAAUCACUAUAUUUGCAAAUUAAUACUUGCUAUGGCCAAUGCCUACUUCAGUGCUAGCUGGCUUGAGUAGGGAAGCAAGCUCACCAGAAUAGAUAGCUAUCGACUGUUUUAGGAAUGGAGAGCGUCAAACCGACCACAAAUCUA